Molecule: long non-coding RNA, 760 nt
Organism: Corticium candelabrum
Lineage: Eukaryota; Metazoa; Porifera; Homoscleromorpha; Homosclerophorida; Plakinidae
Exons: 3
Source: RefSeq, a predicted model, not a curated record
AGUACACUUACCAUUUCGUUGAAGCAGCUUGUCGUUCGCUACUUAAUUAAGCUUUUGCACGUGCGCCUAGAUCUAAUUAGACUCUCAUUUAAGUGACAACGGACACCAGAGGUGCACGGCCUUGAGAGAGCCGUAGCUACUCGCUACUGUGACGUACAGAAUAGAACGUGAAGGCAACAGGAGAUAGGAAGAUUAGAACAAGGCUAGGAUCAGGUGUUCAGUGUUGGAUAUAACUGGAAGAUUCGGAUUAACUUAUGCAGAAGCAGAAAUAUGGAAGCUCCUUAUUUGUCAUCUCGAUGAAGAUCCUGUUUAAUUAAUUAAAUUAAGGCAAGUCUGUUUCAGAUGGUGGACCGUGCAGCUGUGACAGUAAUUUUUAUAAAAUCGAGUUGAGUUUAUUGGGAAGUCAACUGGACUGGAAAUUGAACACAAGCUUGUUGGUUACUAUGCAGAAGUUGACGAGUGACGAGUCUGCUGCUUUUGACUUCCUGGCAGCUGAUGAUCUAGCAAACAUGUUCAUGCAGAUAUUUCCAGACUGAUUUCCAGUGUGAUAUUGGAUGUCGCUCUGACUGAGAAACUGAAUCCUCUUGUUCAGUCAUUUGAGGAUUGGAUGACGACAAAUAAAGAGAAUUUGAGAGCAUGUGAUUGCAUGCUUUGUGGUAGGGGUAGAACAAUGAUGAAUGCUUGCUGUGUAAUCGCUUUACUGCAUGGCAACAUGCAGAUUUGGAAUAGCUUUAAAAUCUUCUCAGCCAAACAUGCAGCA